UCAUUCAUUCAAAGACUAAAAGUGGCUGUGGAUGUUGCUCAAUGUCUGUUAUACCUUCAUGAUAGAGGCCUGCCACAUGGAAACCUAAAGCCUACAAACAUACUCCUGGCAGGUCCUGAUUAUGAUGUUCGCCUCACGGAUUACGGUCUACACCGCCUUAUGACCGCAGCUGGCAUUGCGGAGCAGAUACUGAAUCUGGGAGCACUUGGGUACCGUGCCCCGGAACUCACUACUGCAUCAAGGCCAGCUCCCUCAUUUAAGGCUGAUGUGUAUGCACUCGGUGUAAUCCUAAUGGAAUUGUUAACAAGAAGAAGUGCCGGUGACAUAAUAUCUGGCCAGUCGGGAGCUGUGGAUCUCACCGACUGGGUUCGGCUCUGUGAUCAAGAAGGGCGUGGAAUGGACUGUAUCGACAGAGACAUUGCUGCCGGUGAAGAACCCUCAAAAGCAAUGGAUGAUUUGCUAGCCAUAUCUAUCCGGUGCAUUCUCCCUGUAAAUGAAAGGCCUAACAUCAAACAAGUCUAUGAUGAUCUCUGUUCUAUAUCUGCAUGAAAUUUUGUACAUGUGUCUUGGAAUUAUUUUUUUACCUUGUUCCUUGACCAAUCCUUGUUUUUUUAUCCCCUAUUUUUUUCCUCCCAUUAAUUGGUUUCUGGCCUUUCGAUUACAGGCUAAUCAUCUACUCUUUUGUUUUUUUUUUGGGUCUCACCGAAAAUUUUCUUGUAAAGAAACAUCCCCAUUGAUUAUUUUAACAGUGUUUUGAGUUUGAUCCUCCAUUGAAAAUGGUCUGAGUGUGCUCACUUUGUUCAAUGACAGGAGAGGCAUCAUAGUUCCUUGUGCGAAACAAAGGGGCAAAAUUUCCAAAAUUAUUUGCACAUUCUGCAAUAUUCAUUCUGUUUUCUUGUUACUCAUCUAAUUAUUGAUCUAAACACUGUUCAUUAGCCAAUCGAAUCUAGCAUUCUUGAGAUUUUAAGGCACGUUCUUUUGAUUAUUACAAUUAGAGCUCAAUGCAAGCCCAACAGGUCAGCAGAGGAAAUGAUGAUAAAAUAAAUUCUCUCAACCAAACCGGAAACUCGAUCGCUUCAACGAAAUUAUGAAAAUAAUAAUAAGAAAUGAAAUUUAUAAAAGUAAUUAUAAAAAUUAUUUGAAAAUAAGUAAAUAGUAAAAAUCAUCUCGUACUCAAGUUCGAUUAAUAACAUAAAGAAAGAAAUUUUUUUUUGGAUGAGAUUUUUUAUUACGUCCAAGUUUUUUUGCAAAAAUAAUAAAAUAAUAAAUAUUUAUUUUCCGUUAUAAAUAAAAGUAAAAUGUGAGGCUCCAUCGUUUUAAGAAUAGACACAUAAAUCUUACACAAACCAAAAUGAUAUUUGUAUUUAUUAAAACUUUAUUUUAAGAAGUUUUUGUGGCUCUUUUAAUAGUGUUUGCAUUUUUUUUUAAAAAUAGACAAAAAUUUUACAAUUUUUUAUUUAAAAAACAACUUUAUGCAUUUUCUCUCCACUUCUCAAAAAAAAAAAAAAAAAAAAAAAACGCAUUCCUCCUCAAUUACCUAACAGAAACCCUAAACAUUCCCAAAUCACGAGCCCUUGUGAUUUCAAACAAAUACUCUUACAUUAAGUCACCCGAAAAACCAGAAACUGUGCGUCAAUAUUUCCAUAACGUUGGAUUCUCAGAUACCGAAAUUCAAUUGGCAGUUAGUGCAUCACCCCAUAUUCUCUUCUCUGAUGUUGACAAAACCCUAAAACCAAAGAUUGAACUGCUGUACCGUACAUCCGCCUUGGCCGUACAGCAGAUUUACUUGAUUCUAGCUGUUAGUUUAGAGAAAAAAUUUGAUUCCAAUUGUUGAAAUUCUUAAGAAAAUAUUAGUGAAUGAUACUAAUGAUGAAUAUCUCAUCCGUGUUGUUAGUAGAUGGAACGGGAUUCUUAAAAUUCACCCUGAGAAAUCGGGGUUGCUAAGAAACAUUGAAUACUUCAGAAAUUGUGGCAUUGUUGGGUCUCAGCUGUCAGUGCUAUUGGUGAGGCAACCUAGGCUAUUUUUUUAUGAGGAAUUGAAACUUAGACACCUUGUUUCACGGGUUUUAGAUAUGGGAUUUUCAACCAAAUCGAGGAUGUUUGUUUAUGGAUUUCAUGCACUUAGUUGCGUGAGUGAAGAAACAUUUGAUAGAAAAUUGGAAUUGGUUAGGAGCUAUGGAUUUUCCAAAGAAGAAUUCAUUGAAAUGUUUCGAAAGGCACCUGGUAUACCUAAGUUGUCAGAGGAGAGGUUAAAGUUGGGACUUGAGUUCUUUCUGAAAGAGAUUGAAUGUGAAAAGUCAGUGUUGGUUCGCGUUCCGAUUUGUUUAGCAUGUAGUAUUGAAAAUCGGGCAAUUCCUCGAUAUAGGGUUUUUCAAAUUAUUAUGUCCAGGGGGAUGUUGAGGAAGGAAUCUAGUUUUCCUUCAACACUGCUUUUAAGUGAGAAAAACUUCUUGAAGAAGUUUGUGUUGAGGUUUGGAGAUGAUGCAGAGGAGUUGUUGCUAGCUUACAAGGGCCACGGUUUGGGCAUAAGUUUGGGCAUAAGUUAACUAUCGCCUAUUGGAAUCUUUGAGUCAUUAGCAUUAACUGUUUCAAUGAGAGUUGCUGUUCUAUUUCGAGAUCAGACAGAGAAGGAUUUGAGAGUGUAGUUAAAAGUUGAUGAACAAGGGGAAAUCUCCAGUGGUUUCACUUAAUGAGGUUGCAUGAGAGUUUGGCGAAGGUUCACUGGCCGUUCUAUGUGGUAGCAUAUAGAAGAAGAGAUUAAAGCCUUGAACGAGAAGUCAAUUACCCUUAAACAAGCAAAAGAAAUUUUGAGAAGCGUAAGUUCUGGUACUAACAUCAGACAAGUCUAAUUUUAUGAUAUGUGUAUCUAUUUGCUAGAGAAUUUGUACAAGCAUAAGAAAGUUUCCCUACUGCGGUAAAUGAUUAUGGAUAUAUUCCUUCAAAAUUGUUUUGUCUCAUGGGACGUUGUCUGUAUGCACAUCAUUUCGAUCUCUUAGAUCAUUUUAAUUUUCCAAAUUAUUCCUAUCCUAGUCGCAGUAGAAAGAUAAGACUGAACCAACUGAAUUGUUUGUGAAUGCACCCUGACUACGAAAUUUUUGGGCAAUAACCAAUUUUGCUCGUGCCAGCUAGCAAAAAAGAAGAAAUUAGGAGAGUGGGGUUACAGAUUUUUUGCACGUGCUUGAAAAUUAAGCAAAUUUAGGUUAUUCUACGUGUUUUGUUCUGGCAUAGGUUUUUUUUAUAUUAUUAUUUGUGAAAUUUUUUCCUUAUUCUUUUUACCUUUAAACAAAUGUUCAAUUUGGUAUUGCAGUGCUGUAAUUCCUAAAUCAUAGCAGCUAGCUCUAGAAAUAAAAAUGUAUAGUGUUUGGUAAAAUAUGAUUUUUAAGUCAUAAUUGUGACAAAAAUAGUAAGGGUAUUGCAACUCUCAAAACUGAAACACACCUGUCCCCAAAAUGCCCAAAUUCCAAAAGCUUUGCAAUCAAAUCCCAUUUCUCAUUUUUUUUCUCCUCUUUCGGAAACCCAAAAUUCUAACACAUUCCUCCUCAAUUACCUCAUCGAAACCCUAAAAAUUCCCAAACCACGAGCCCUUGUAAUCUCAAAAAAAAUACUCUCGCGUUAAAUCCCUAGAAAAACCACAAAUUGUACGUCAGUUUUUAGUAAAAUGUUGGAUUCUCUGAUACUCACAUUCAAGUGACAGUUAAUGCAGAACCCCGAAUUCUAUUCUCUGAUAUUUGACAAAACCCUUAAACCAAAGAUUGAAUUUUUCCGGCAUCUGGGUUUCAUGGUUUUUGAUUUGGGUAAUUUUGUUUCCAAAAAUCCAUGUCUUUUAACUGCUAGUUUACAGGAAAAAAAAAUGAUUCCAUGCAUUGAAGUUCUUAAGGAAAUAUUAGUGAAUGAUACUAAUAAUGAAGAUACCAACGAAACAUUGAAUUCUUAAAAAAUUGUGGCAUUGUUGGGUCUCAGCUGUCAAAUUUAUUUUGUAGUGCAACCUAGGCUAUUUUGUUAUGAGGAAUUUAGACACCUUAAUUCACGGGUUUCAGAUAUGGGAUUAUCAACAAAAUCGAGGAUGUUUGUUCAUGGAUUGCAUGCACUUAGUUGCAUGAGUGAAGAAACAUUUGAUAUAAAAUUGGAAUUAUUUAGGAGUUAUGGAUUUUUCCAGCGAAGAGUUCGUUGAAAUGUUUAGAAAGACACCUAAAAUUGAUUAGGUUCUCCGAGGGGAGGUUAAAGACGGGGCUGGAGUUCUGUUUGAAAAAGAUUGAAUUUGAAAAGGCAGUGUUGGUUCGUUUUCCUAUUUGUUUAGCAUGUAACAUUGAAGAUCGGGUGAUUCCUCGAUAUAGGGUUUUUCAAAUUAUUAUAUCAAGAGGGAUGUUGAAGAAGGAAUGUAGAAUGCUGCUUUUGAGUGAGGAGAAUUUCUUUAGGAAGCUUGAAGAUGAUGCAGAGGAGUUGUUGCUAACGUACGAGGGCCACAGUUUGGGUUCUUCUUUGAAAGAGGAAUCUUGAUACAAUUAUACAAGUUUCAAUAUGCUAACUAUGGCCUAUUGGGUCUUUGGGUCAUUAGCAUUAACUAUCGUAAUGAAAGUAGUUGUUUUGCCCCCACACAAACUCUCAAUGUUGUUGUAUUUCGAGAUCUGACAAAGAAGGAUCUAUGUGUAGUCGAUAGUUGACGAAAAGGGAAAUUUUUUUUACAUUCAAUGAUGCCCUUCGUUGAUUUUCGCUUGAUGAGUUACGAUGAGAGUGUUCGUAGACAGUUCACUGGUCGUUUGGUGUGUUAGCAUGUAGAAGAAGAGAUCAAAGCAUCGAACCAAAAGUGAAUUACCCAAUGAACUAGCAAAAGGGAUAUUGAGAAGUGUAAGUUAUGUUGCUAACAUCGAACAAGUCUAAUUUGAUGAUCUCUGUUCUGGUAUAGCUUUAAAAUUUGUACAUGCCUAAAAAAGCUUCCCUGCUACGCAUACAAAUUAUGGAUUUUUCUUUCAAAAUUUUUUUAGUAGAGCUCUUCGAGCUCUUUUUUUUUUUUUAAUAUUGUUAUACAUGAUUGUUACUGAUAUUACAAUUAAUGUUUACAAACAGAUUAUACAACUGAGACCUUUUUCUUGGCAUGUACUCUUCUAAACCUCAUUAUUAUUGGUAUUACAUCAGAUAUUACAAUUAAUGUUUACAAACAGAUUAUACAACUGAAGCAUUCUUCUUGGCAUGUACUUUUCUGAACCUAUGCGUAGAUUUUUUUAAAUAUUUUCUAAUAUUUGAGGGUGUCCAUCCCACUCACAUUUCUUGAGAAAGAAAUUGUUUCCACUCAAUUAUUUAAGAGUAAUGAUACAGCCACAAACUCUUGUACAAACUUAUUUUGUACAAACUGAUGUGGCAUGAUAAGAUUGGUUGAAUUAAAUAUCACUUGGCCCACAUGAUUUGUUUUUAUUAAUUUUUAAUAAUUAAGGGAGGAAUGAAACUAACCUCCAUAAUGCUUUUAUGGAGGCUCGAACCCCUUACUCUCAACAUUAUAAGUGUAAGGACUCUCCGUCAAAGGCCCAUUGGUGCUAUUCGAGCUCUUUAGUUUGUCACAUCAGACCCUGACGGCCCAUAUCUAUCUGCAUACCAAUUAAAUCUCUUAUGGUGCAUUUAUUAAAUGAGAAUAGAAAUGAGAUGAAAUCAGAAUGGGCAGAAAUCAGAAUGGAUUGAAAUGAGAGAAGAGAGUAGGAAUAUAAAUAAAUUUUUUACUUGAACUAUAAGAAUCAGAAUCAGAAUGAGAUGAAUUGUUAUUAAUGUGUUUACAAAUGAGUUAAAUUGUUACAAAUUAUUAAAAAAUCUUUAAUUAAUUAUUAUUAUAAUAAUUAUUUUAUAUUUUAAUUAUCGUGAAUAUCUACUCAAGAAUUACUAUUACUAUUACUAUUAGUAUUAUUAUUAAUUAUUAUUAAUAAUAUAUUAAUUUAUGAAUUAAUUCUAAAUUUUUUAUCAUUGACAAUGAAGAUAAUAAUAAUAUUAACAUUAAUAAUUUAUUAAUUAUAAUUUAUCAUCAAGAAGAAGCGAAGAAGAAGUAUGAGGAAGAGGCUAAGUCAGCCGAAGAGCUCAUUAAUGACAAGAAUGAAACUUUCACCCUCACUACAAAAUACUUGAGCCAUAACCAUUUCUUGCUGAGAUGGAAGAAACAAGAGACACUGUUGUUAUAGUUUAAUUUUUGCAUGUGCUUGAAAAUCAUGCUAAAUUAUUGUUAUUCUCAAUAGGGGGUUGAUUGUGGAGUCAUGCACCUGAUAGUGCCAGAUUACAUGCGUUUACUUUUCUUUUCUUUUCAAAAAAAAAAAAAAAGAUUACAUGCGUUUCUCAUUGGAAGAUGUGGGCUCUAGCUCUACUGCUCAAUUCCUCCCCAUAAAAGUUUAACACGUGUGUAGUCGCGCACGUGAUCGCGCUUCUCACAAUUGGACCUGGUAUCACUUGCUAGUAAAUCUUGAAGGGAAUCUCUUAAGUUGGCAUUUAGCAUUUGCUAAUGUUUUGGUAAUGUUUAAACAAGAAAACAAAAAUAAGCCUUCAAUGAUCUUCUUGUUGUGUCUAUUUUAUUUGAACUGUAAAUCUGCCCUUGCCCUUUGCAAGUUGGUUUUAGUCUGCUUGUCACGAAUCAAUCAACAAACCUGUGACAUGAAAGUUUGAAAUUAAUCAUUAAUAGACGUGUCAACUGCGAAAGUGGCGAUUUUUAAGCGCUAUCGCCGCCAUCGGUCCUGUAAAACUACCCGUGUUGAGGAACAUUUUGGUCCGUAAAAGAGUUUUUGGCUAUAUAAUGAACAUUUGGUCAAAUUUGCCGCCGUAAAAACCCUUCACCCUUCUUCUGUUUUUUGUUCAUUUAAACCCUAGAAACCCCAGUCUCUUAAAAGCCAAAACUGAAAACACCGCUAGCCCCAAAAUGCGGAGACUCAAUUCAUUUCCAAAUACCCAAAACUUUGCAAUCAAAUCCCUUUUCUCAUUCUUCUCUUCACUUUCGAAGACCCAGAAUACAACCCCCAUCCUCCUUAAUUACCUAAUCGAAACUCUAAAAAUCCCCGAAUCACGAGCCCUUGUGAUCUCAAACAAAUACUCUCACAUUAAAUCCCUAGAUAAACCGCAAACUGUGCGUCAAUUUUUCCACAAUGUCGGAUUAUCGGAUAUCCACAUUCAGCUGGCAGUUAAUGCAACACCCACAAUUCUAUUCUCCGAUAUUAACAGGACCCUUAAACCAAAGAUUGAGCUUUUUCAACGUUUGGGUUUUGUGGGUUCUGAUUUGGGUAAGUUUGUUUCCAAAAAUUCAUUCCUUUUUUGCUGUUAGUUUGGAGAAAAAAUUGAUUCCAUGUGUUGAAAUUAUUCAGAAAAUAUUAGCGGAUCGUACUACUAAUCAAAAUUUGAUUGUGUUGUUAGUAGAUGCAACUGGAUUCUCACAAGGGACCCGGAGAAAUCAGGGCUAUUAGGAAACAUUGAAUACUUGAAAAGUUGUGGCAUUGUUGGUUCUCGGUUGUCUACUUUAUUAAUGAGGCAAACUAGGCUAUUUUGUUUUGAGGAAUUGAAACUUGGACAGCUUGUUUUGCGGGUUUUAGAUAUGAGAUUUUCAAUUAACUCAAGGAUGUUUGUUUAUGGACUGGAUGCUCUUUGUUGCUUUAGCGAAGAAACAUUUGAUAGAAAAUUGGAUUUAUUUUAGAGUUAUGGAUUUUCCAAAGAAGAGUUCAUGGAAAUGUUUCGGAGGGCACCUGGAAUACUAAGGUCGUCUGAGGAGAGUUUAAAGUCGAGACUUGAGUUCUUUCUGACAGAGAUGAAUUUAAAAAGUCGGUGUUGGUUCAUAAUCCGGUUUGUUUAACGCUAAGUAUAGAAAAUCAAGUGAUUCCUCGAUAUAGGUUUUUUCAGGUUUCAAUGGCCUUCCCUUUUAAAUUUCAACUCAAAUGUUCAACGCCCACCAACUUCCCCGAGCUUCUCAAAUGAUCACUUGCUUACUUCAAAUUCAAGAUCAUUAUAUGGGCAGGCAGAGUUUAUAACAGAAAUUAUUGAGCAAACUGAUGGAGGGGCUGCCAGUUCGGCAUCCGUGAAUCCUAAUUUGCUUGAUAAUCAUCCUGUAACUUCUGGAAGAAAGUCGUCUCUAGGUUCCCCAUUGUCUUCCUCACCCCAUUUCAUUGAGGUCUGCGAGCAGCCUGUGAGGUUGGAUGUGUGUUCACCAGAUCGGUUGGCUGGGGAACUGUUCUUCCUGGAUGCUUCACUAGCAUUCACUGCUGAAGAAUUAUCUCGAGCCCCUGCAGAAGUGCUUGGCAGAAGCAGCCAUGGAACUCUCUAUAAAGCCACUCUAGAUAGUGGGCAUAUGUUGACUGUGAAAUGGUGGCGGGUGGGACUGGUAAGACAUAAGAAAGAAUUUGCUAAGGAAGUUAAAAAAAAAAAGAUCUAUGAGGCAUUCAAAUAUUGUUCCGUUGCGCGCGUAUUAUUGGGGGCCUGGAGAACAGGAGAGGCUUCUUCUUGCAGAUUAUAUCCAGGGAGACAGCUUGGCCCUACAUCUUUACGGUAAGAAUUCAAAGGACAUUUUUAUCUUGUCUUUUAAUCAUUAUUCCCUACCAACUUUCCGGAGUUCUUUUGUCAUAGUUCAGCCAACUUUCUUUGUUAUAACUAUUGUCUGAGUUCUGAAUGAGGAUGCUUUGCUCUAAAUGCAUGUUGAUGCUGCAUGGCGUAUCGUUUUUCUUUACUCUGUAGUGUGACAUUCAUGUCAAAAUGGUUUAAAUAGAUGUUGGAUUUCAUUAUCGUGGCAAGUCUAGUUAAAGAAGGCUUGAGAGCUUGAAGCGGAGUUGGCAUAUUAGGUUUUUGUUAAGUUAAUUGCUCGUUUUGUUGAACCUUCCACAGUCUCAACCCUCAGGGUGAAUGUCAUAUACAAGCUUCUUGAAUAUGGUCUUUACAUAGAGAGCCUCUAUUUCUCUAAUGGGGGACAUUGCAAGCUGUGAUGAAGUUGGAUAGUUAUAUUGGUUUAACUUUCAUUUUACUUCUUUCAUGGGGAAUAACCGUUUUUCCUAGCUGAUUUAUAUACAUGUGCUUCAUAAUGUACAUGGACUUCUCUCUAACAUUUUGUAUUAUUUGAUCCACAUAUGUGGCAAUGCAGAGACUACUCCUUGGAGGUACUCCCCAUUGUCAUUCAUUCAAAGGCUAAAAGUGGCUGUGGAUGUUGCUCGAUGUCUGUUAUACCUUCAUGAUAGAGGCCUGCCACAUGGAAACCUAAAGCCUACACACAUACUCCUGGCAGGUCCUGAUUAUGACGUUCGCCUAACGGAUUACGGCCUACACCGCCUUAUGACCCCAGCUGGCAUUGCGGAGCAGAUACUGAAUCUGGGAGCAC
This 9313-nucleotide long non-coding RNA is filed under the name Citrus sinensis (sweet orange). RNAcentral's name for it is "long non-coding RNA (CSIN_LNC004898)". The record is from RNAcentral. Lineage: Eukaryota; Viridiplantae; Streptophyta; Magnoliopsida; Sapindales; Rutaceae.